UACGUAGGGGUCGAGCGUUGUCCGGAGUUACUGGGCGUAAAGCGUGUGCAGGCGGCUCUUUGCGCCCGGCGUGAAAGCCCCCGGCUCAACCGGGGAGAGUCGUCGGGGACGGGUGAGCUUGAGGGUAUCAGGGGCUGGUGGAAUUCCCGGUGUAGUGGUGAAAUGCGUAGAUAUCGGGAGGAACACCCGUGGCGAAGGCGGCCAGCUGGGAUACACCUGACGCUGAGACACGAAGGCGUGGGGAGCGAACGGG
RNAcentral lists this ribosomal RNA (253 nucleotides) under uncultured bacterium. RNAcentral's name for it is "partial 16S ribosomal RNA". It matches the Rfam family "Bacterial small subunit ribosomal RNA", at positions 524 to 776 of the family's 1533-position model. The record is from RNAcentral.